This 492-nucleotide ribosomal RNA is filed under the name uncultured bacterium. RNAcentral's name for it is "partial 16S ribosomal RNA". It matches the Rfam family "Bacterial small subunit ribosomal RNA", at positions 28 to 507 of the family's 1533-position model. The record is from RNAcentral.
GAUGAACGCUAGCUACAGGCUUAACACAUGCAAGUCGAGGGGCAGCGGUAUCGAAAGCUUGCUUUCGGUAGCCGGCGACCGGCGCACGGGUGAGUAACGCGUAUCGAACCUGCCUCAUACUCGGGAAUAGCCUUGCGAAAGUAAGAUUAAUGCCCGGUGUUUUCAGAGUCCCGCAUGAGGCUUUGAACAAAGAUUUAUCGGUAUGAGAUGGCGAUGCGUCCCACUAGCUUGUUGGCGGGGUAACGGCCCACCAAGGCAUCGAUGGGUAGGGGUUCUGAGAGGAAGGUCCCCCACAUUGGAACUGAGACACGGUCCAAACUCCUACGGGAGGCAGCAGUGAGGAAUAUUGGUCAAUGGGCGGAAGCCUGAACCAGCCAAGUAGCGUGCAGGAAGACGGCCCUCCGGGUUGUAAACUGCUUUUAGUUGGGAAUAAAACGGGGCUCGUGAGCCCCCUUGCAUGUACCAUCAGAAAAAGGACCGGCUAAUUCCGUG